Molecule: long non-coding RNA, 2675 nt
Organism: Acipenser ruthenus (sterlet)
Lineage: Eukaryota; Metazoa; Chordata; Actinopteri; Acipenseriformes; Acipenseridae
Exons: 3
Source: RefSeq, a predicted model, not a curated record
AGUUGUGACUCUGUGUCUCUCUCCUCCCCCUCUCCUCUCCUCUCCUUACUUUGUUUAAAAGAAUAGAAGCACACCCAGUGAGCAAGGCAUUGAGCAGCCCCACAUCCCGCUUCACAAUACCGCUACAUAUUGACUGACUGUUCGCAUUGUGUGUGUUUGGUAAGACAAACCACAUUUUCUACUUCUACUUUCUACGAUUGGGCAAGUCAGCGGUUGUUUGAUAACAGAACAUAAAACAUUACAGAGCGGGUUGAACUGCAUUGCUGCAAAUCAAGGCCCUUUAAAAUGUGUACCUUCCCAGCUCAGGUAUUGCUGAGGUAAAGAGACACUUCCUACAGGAGGACAGGACGUUGUCAAGGAGGGGAUGUCGUCACGUGUCCUGAGGGCUUUCUUAAAAACAUUGUUUUAUUAUUUCUAAGCGUACGUUGUUACUGCCUUUUAGCUCUUGAGCAUAAUAAUCUCAAUCCCGUUUGAAAUGACACUAAGUGCAUUUGCAUGGUGCAGAUGAGGGAUGUCGCUUCACUCGAGGCUUGUGUACUGAUGAAGAUGUAGUUUCAGUGUUUAAUGGUUAUCCCCUCACUGUGUGUGUGUGUGUGUGUGUGUGUGUGUGUGUGUGUUCUUGUCUCUCGCCUGUCCAGUGAGGAUGAAGAUGUAGUUUCAGUGUUUAAUGCUCAUCCCCUCACUGUGUGUUUGUGUGUUCUUGUCUCGACAGGUCUGUGAGGAUGAGAAGGUCUCCACAGUCUGGAGUCUGGUCUCUGACAGGCUCAACAUACCUGUCAAUCAACAGGGACUCCUCUACAAAGGCAAGGCGCUGGCAGAUGAGCACAGACUGUCACACGACUCCAUCGCUCCCGAUUCCAAGCUGAACUCGUUGUGACGCCCCCAACAGAGAAAGUGUCACCCUCGCAAGAACAGCACUCCCUGUGUCACCCCUCCUCUCAGACCUCACCCCUCACCCUCGCCUCACCCCUCCUGUCACACCUCACCCCUCACCACACCCCUCCUCUCACACCUCACCCCUCCUCUCACCCAUCGCCUCAACCCUCCUGUCACGCCUCGCCUCACCCCGGGUCAGUGUGGCACAGCCUGCCUGCUCUUCUGAACAAACACUUCAGCCCUGCCGACGCAGUGAGAGUCUGGAGCAGCAACACAAGGAUUACGAGCGGAGGCUGCGCUUGUUGAGCCUGGAUGAUAUGGAGCGGCUGGCGACUCGCAUGCUUCACCCUGAGGCUGUGGAGUGCAUGGAGCUGUCCUUCCUGGACUGAGGAAUACUGCUGCUGCCCUCUCCACCUCUCCCCUCUCUUCUCCCCUCUCCCCUCUCUCCUCUCCUCUUUACUCUCUCCUCCCCCUCUCCUCUCCUCUCCUUACUUUGUUUAAAAGAAUAGAAGCACACCCAGUGAGCAAGGCAUUGAGCAGCCCCACAUCCCGCUUCACAAUACCGCUACAUAUUGACUGACUGUUCGCAUUGUGUGUGUUUGGUAAGACAAACCACAUUUUCUACUUUCUGCUAUUUUAAAAGGAGCCCAGUUUGGUGCAGGAGGCUUGUGGGUAACAGAGUUGUUUUUGCUGGGGACUGCAGCCCUUCCAUUACCAUUGCUCAUAGAGGGGAGAUUGUUUUACUUUCAAGCCUUUUUCUUUAAUAAAUCCGGACGUUUGGAAAUACAUACUGUGUGGGCGUUUCCCUUCUUCAUGGCUCCAUGCAGCAUCCUGUCACACAACAAGCCCUGAAAGGGGAUCUAUACAUAUUUAUUCUCAAUCACCAGGCAGUAAUCGCAGCUACAAUACAGACACACAACGUGUCACUUUUAUUGGCUGAAACUUUAAACUACGACUAGAAGCCUCUGAAGCCUUUUCAUGGCCCUCCACCUGUCCUUGAUCAGAACGCUGUCCUUCCUCUAAGGGGUCGCUUUCCAUGCUAAUCUUCCGUUUCCUCUGCAGAAAGGACAGGACAGUGUUCACAGAGCUCCCUUCACUCCCGCAAAGCCAAGACAUCCAGGCUCUUGUGCUGCUUUGCUCCCCAGCGCCCGAGUGCUUGCUGGCAGUGCUGAGGCACGCUCACCCUGAACAGCAGCGCUAGCUUUGUCUAUUGAGGAAGGCUUGGCGCUCCCGUUGGUUCAUCAGUAAUAAUGAUUUAGUGGAGACAGUACAGUGCUCGGGGGGGGGAUGAAAGUUUACAUCAGAAUAGAAACUUUGCACAAAGUCAACCUGCUGGAAGUGGAAUCAUUUCUGCUGCGCAGCUUCAGAUUCCACAGCUUGACGAGGAACACAAUAUAAAAAACACAUGUUCCUCUGGAAGCCACACAGUUAUUAUAUAUAUGAUUAGUGUUAACACUCAUAGCAUUGACCUGGUAUCCCUGGUAUUUACCUCCGAGCCCUGCUGUGUAACAGGGGUGUUUCAUAAUCCCUCCUCUCUUCAGUGGCAUGAAAGACUGCAACUGUGCAGUCAGCGCCAGGAUUCUCAACUCCUGCAGUGCGACCUCUGACAAGGGAAGUGAACCUCAUAUACAAGGUUAGACAACAAGGCAGUCACAAGCAGACAGGUGGUGCAGUGGGCUAGUUCACUAGCAUGCUGUGCUGCUUACCUUGGGGGACUGAGUUCAAAUCCAGGUGAGUUCCUCCUUUGUUUUCAAAGACUUGGUUAAUUUCUUAUAUAAGACAAUGAAAAAGCAGACUAC